AGACGUCUACAUUAGAUACCCCGGUAGUCCUAGCCGUAAACGAUACUCGCUAGGUGUCGGCCACGGUGCGACCGUUGUCGGUGCCGUAGGGAAGCCGUGAAGCGAGCCACCUGGGAAGUACGGCCGCAAGGCUGAAACUUAAAGGAAUUGGCGGGGGAGCACCACAACGGGUGGAGCUUGCGGUUUAAUUGGAUUCAACGCCGGAAAUCUUACCGGGACCGACAGCAACAUGAAGGCCAAGCUGAAGACUUUGCCGGAUUAGCUG
This 265-nucleotide ribosomal RNA is filed under the name uncultured archaeon. RNAcentral describes it as "partial 16S ribosomal RNA". It matches the Rfam family "Archaeal small subunit ribosomal RNA", at positions 717 to 982 of the family's 1478-position model. The record is from RNAcentral.